Molecule: ribosomal RNA, 362 nt
Filed under: Ehrlichia canis
Lineage: Bacteria; Pseudomonadati; Pseudomonadota; Alphaproteobacteria; Rickettsiales; Anaplasmataceae
Also listed under: 1 other name
Description: bacterial SSU rRNA
Rfam family: Bacterial small subunit ribosomal RNA
Source: RNAcentral
CCUCUGGCUAUAGGAAAUUGUUAGUGGCAGACGGGUGAGUAAUGCGUAGGAAUCUACCUAGUAGUACGGAAUAGCCAUUAGAAAUGGUGGGUAAUACUGUAUAAUCCCCGAGGGGGAAAGAUUUAUCGCUAUUAGAUGAGCCUACGUUAGAUUAGCUAGUUGGUGAGGUAAUGGCUUACCAAGGCUAUGAUCUAUAGCUGGUCUGAGAGGACGAUCAGCCACACUGGAACUGAGAUACGGUCCAGACUCCUACGGGAGGCAGCAGUGGGGAAUAUUGGACAAUGGGCGAAAGCCUGAUCCAGCUAUGCCGCGUGAGUGAAGAAGGCCUUCGGGUUGUAAAACUCUUUCAAUAGGGAAGAUAA